AGAGUUUGAUCCUGGCUCAGGAUGAACGCUGGCGGCGUGCUUAACACAUGCAAGUCGAACGAAGCACUUUAUUUGAUUUCUUCGGAAUGAAGAUUUUGUGACUGAGUGGCGGACGGGUGAGUAACGCGUGGGUAACCUGCCUCAUACAGGGGGAUAACAGUUGGAAACGACUGCUAAUACCGCAUAAGCGCACAGGGUCGCAUGGCCUGGUGUGAAAAACUCCGGUGGUAUGAGAUGGACCCGCGUCUGAUUAGCCAGUUGGUGGGGUAACGGCCUACCAAAGCGACGAUCAGUAGCCGACCUGAGAGGGUGACCGGCCACAUUGGGACUGAGACACGGCCCAAACUCCUACGGGAGGCAGCAGUGGGGAAUAUUGCACAAUGGGGGGAACCCUGAUGCAGCGACGCCGCGUGAGCGAAGAAGUAUCUCGGUAUGUAAACUUCUAUCAGCAGGGAAGAUAGUGACGGUACCUGACUAAGAAGCCCCGGCUAACUACGUGCCAGCAGCCGCGGUAAUACGUAGGGGGCAAGCGUUAUCCGGAUUUACUGGGUGUAAAGGGAGCGUAGACGGUGUGGCAAGUCUGAUGUGAAAGGCAUGGGCUCAACCUGUGGACUGCAUUGGAAACUGCUGUGCUUGAGUGCCGGAGGGGUAAGCGGAAUUCCUAGUGUAGCGGUGAAAUGCGUAGAUAUUAGGAGGAACACCAGUGGCGAAGGCGGCUUACUGGACGGUAACUGACGUUGAGGCUCGAAAGCGUGGGGAGCAAACAAAAUUAGAUACCCUGGUAGUCCACGCUGUAAACG
RNAcentral lists this ribosomal RNA (800 nucleotides) under uncultured bacterium. Its description in RNAcentral is "bacterial SSU rRNA". It matches the Rfam family "Bacterial small subunit ribosomal RNA", at positions 8 to 808 of the family's 1533-position model. The record is from RNAcentral.